This 71-nucleotide transfer RNA is filed under the name Camelus bactrianus (Bactrian camel). It matches the Rfam family "tRNA". From Rfam's summary of the family: Transfer RNA (tRNA) molecules are approximately 80 nucleotides in length. Their secondary structure includes four short double-helical elements and three loops (D, anti-codon, and T loops). Further hydrogen bonds mediate the characteristic L-shaped molecular structure. tRNAs have two regions of fundamental functional importance: the anti-codon, which is responsible for specific mRNA codon recognition, and the 3' end, to which the tRNAs corresponding amino acid is attached (by aminoacyl-tRNA synthetases). tRNAs cope with the degeneracy of the genetic code in two manners: having more than one tRNA (with a specific anti-codon) for a particular amino acid; and 'wobble' base-pairing, i.e. permitting non-standard base-pairing at the 3rd anti-codon position. Lineage: Eukaryota; Metazoa; Chordata; Mammalia; Artiodactyla; Camelidae. RNAcentral also lists the same sequence under 2 other names. The record is from Rfam by way of RNAcentral.
GAGUGUAUAGCCCAGUGGUAGAGCGCACGCUCAGCAUGCAUGAGGUCCUGGGUUCAAUCCCUAGUAUCUCU